UGUAAUAAUUCAGAAGAUAUGGGUAGGUUUGCUAUAUAAUACAUGUAAAGGAGAGGGGCAUGAUUUGUAAUAAUUCAGAAGAUAUGGGUAGGUUUGCUAUAUAAUACAUGUAAAGGAGAGGGGCAUGAUUUGUAAUAAUUCAGAAGAUAUGGGUAGGUUUGCUAUAUAAUACAUGUAAAGGAGAGGGGCAUGAUUUGUAAUAAUUCAGAAGAUAUGGGUAGGUUUGCUAUAUAAUACAUGUAAAGGAGAGGGGCAUGAUUUGUAAUAAUUCAGAAGAUAU
Mytilus trossulus (common blue mussel) is the source of this 280-nucleotide long non-coding RNA. RefSeq lists it as uncharacterized. The transcript has 3 exons. NCBI's taxonomy places the organism in Eukaryota, Metazoa, Mollusca, Bivalvia, Mytilida, Mytilidae. The record is from RefSeq and is a predicted model, not a curated record.